GAUGAACGCUGGCGGCGUGCCUAAUACAUGCAAGUCGAGCGAAUGGAUUAAGAGCUUGCUCUUAUGAAGUUAGCGGCGGACGGGUGAGUAACACGUGGGUAACCUGCCCAUAAGACUGGGACAACUCCGGGAAACCGGGGCUAAUACCGGAUAACAUUUUGAACCGCAUGGUUCGAAAUUGAAAGGCGGCUUCGGCUGUCACUUAUGGAUGGACCCGCGUCGCAUUAGCUAGUUGGUGAGGUAGCGGCUCACCAAGGCAACGAUGCGUAACCGAACUGAGAGGGUGAGCGACCACACUGGGACUGAGACACGGCCCAGACUCCUACGGGAGGCAGCAGUAGGGAAUCUUCCGCAAUGGACGAAAGUCUGACGGAGCAACGCCGCGUGAGUGAUGAAGGCUUUCGGGUCGUAAAACUCUGUUGUUAGGGAAGAACAAGUGCUAGUUGAAUAAGCUGGCACCUUGACGGUACCUAACCAGAAAGCCACGGCUAACUACGUGCCAGCCGCCGCAGUAA
RNAcentral lists this ribosomal RNA (515 nucleotides) under uncultured bacterium. RNAcentral describes it as "partial 16S ribosomal RNA". It matches the Rfam family "Bacterial small subunit ribosomal RNA", at positions 28 to 523 of the family's 1533-position model. The record is from RNAcentral.